RNAcentral lists this unclassified non-coding RNA (499 nucleotides) under Anelosimus octavius. RNAcentral's name for it is "partial contains 16S ribosomal RNA and tRNA-Leu (trnL)". The stretch from base 106 to 398 matches the Rfam family "Bacterial large subunit ribosomal RNA", at positions 2078 to 2643 of the family's 2925-position model. The record is from RNAcentral. Lineage: Eukaryota; Metazoa; Arthropoda; Arachnida; Araneae; Theridiidae.
GUUUUUUAAUWAAAACUAGAAUGAAAGGUUAUACAUUCAAAUUUCUUUAUUAAUUUUUUAAUAAAUAAUUUAUAUUAAAUAUAAAAAUAUAUUUACAAAAAAAAAAGACGACAAGACCCUAUUAAAUUUUACUUAUAGUUUAGCUGGGGAAGCUUUUCAAUUAAAAUUUUUUUAAAAAAUUAAAUAAAUAUCUAAUAAAAUUAAAAUUUUAAUAAAUUACUAUAGGGAUAACAGCAUUAUAUUUUUUAAAAGUUCAUAUUAAAAAAAAUGAUUGUGACCUCGAUGUUGAAUUAUAUUUUCUAUAUUUAAUGCAAUAAUUAUAUAAGUAGAUCUGUUCGAUCUUUAAAAUAUUACAUGAUUUGAGUUCAAACCGGUGUAAACCAGGUUGGUUUCUAUCUUUUUAUAUAUUUUUCUAGUACGAAAGGACAAAAAAAUUUUUAUUUUAAUAAAUUAGCAAAUAAAUGCAUUAGAUUUAGAAUCUAAAUAUAUAUAUAUAAUU